GACGAACGCUGGCGGCGUGCUUAACACAUGCAAGUCGAACGGAAAGGCCCUGCUUUUGUGGGGUGCUCGAGUGGCGAACGGGUGAGUAACACGUGAGUAACCUGCCCUUGACUUCGGGAUAACUUCAGGAAACUGGGGCUCAUACCGGAUAGGAGCUCCUGCUGCAUGGUGGGGGUUGGAAAGUUUCGGCGGUUGGGGAUGGACUCGCGGCUUAUCAGCUUGUUGGUGGGGUAGUGGCUUACCAAGGCUUUGACGGGUAGCCGGCCUGAGAGGGUGACCGGCCACAUUGGGACUGAGAUACGGCCCAGACUCCUACGGGAGGCAGCAGUGGGGAAUAUUGCACAAUGGGCGGAAGCCUGAUGCAGCAACGCCGCGUGCGGGAUGACGGCCUUCGGGUUGUAAACCGCUUUCGCCUGUGACGAAGCGUGAGUGACGGUAAUGGGUAAAGAAGCACCGGCUAACUACGUG
RNAcentral lists this ribosomal RNA (468 nucleotides) under uncultured bacterium. RNAcentral describes it as "partial 16S ribosomal RNA". It matches the Rfam family "Bacterial small subunit ribosomal RNA", at positions 28 to 507 of the family's 1533-position model. The record is from RNAcentral.